GACGAACGCUGGCGGCGUGCUUAACACAUGCAAGUCGAACGGUAAGGCCCUUCGGGGUACACGAGUGGCGAACGGGUGAGUAACACGUGGGUGAUCUGCCCUGCACUUCGGGAUAAGCCUGGGAAACUGGGUCUAAUACCGGAUAGGACCAUUGCCUGCAUGGGUGGUGGUGGAAAGCUUUUGCGGUGUGGGAUGGGCCCGCGGCCUAUCAGCUUGUUGGUGGGGUGAUGGCCUACCAAGGCGACGACGGGUAGCCGGCCUGAGAGGGUGACCGGCCAAACUGGGACUGAGAUACGGCCCAGACUCCUACGGGAGGGAGCAGUGGGGAAUAUUGCACAAUGGGCGCAAGCCUGAUGCAGCGACGCCGCGUGAGGGAUGACGGCCUUCGGGUUGUAAACCUCUUUCAGCACCGACGAAGCGCAAGUGACGGUAGGUGCAGAAGAAGGACCGGCCAACUACGUGCCAGCCGCCGCCGUAA
This 478-nucleotide ribosomal RNA is filed under the name uncultured bacterium. RNAcentral describes it as "partial 16S ribosomal RNA". It matches the Rfam family "Bacterial small subunit ribosomal RNA", at positions 28 to 523 of the family's 1533-position model. The record is from RNAcentral.